Molecule: ribosomal RNA, 2924 nt
Filed under: Escherichia coli
Lineage: Bacteria; Pseudomonadati; Pseudomonadota; Gammaproteobacteria; Enterobacterales; Enterobacteriaceae
Description: bacterial LSU rRNA
Rfam family: Bacterial large subunit ribosomal RNA
Source: RNAcentral
GGGUUGUGAGGUUAAGCGACUAAGCGUACACGGUGGAUGCCCUGGCAGUCAGAGGCGAUGAAGGACGUGCUAAUCUGCGAUAAGCGUCGGUGAGGUGAUAUGAACCGUUAUAACCGGCGAUUUCCGAAUGGGGAAACCCAGUGUGAUUCGUCACACUAUCAUUAACUGAAUCCAUAGGUUAAUGAGGCGAACCGGGGGAACUGAAACAUCUAAGUACCCCGAGGAAAAGAAAUCAACCGAGAUUCCCCCAGUAGCGGCGAGCGAACGGGGAGGAGCCCAGAGCCUGAAUCAGUGUGUGUGUUAGUGGAAGCGUCUGGAAAGGCGCGCGAUACAGGGUGACAGCCCCGUACACAAAAAUGCACAUAUUGUGAGCUCGAUGAGUAGGGCGGGACACGUGGUAUCCUGUCUGAAUAUGGGGGGACCAUCCUCCAAGGCUAAAUACUCCUGACUGACCGAUAGUGAACCAGUACCGUGAGGGAAAGGCGAAAAGAACCCCGGCGAGGGGAGUGAAAAAGAACCUGAAACCGUGUACGUACAAGCAGUGGGAGCCUCUUAAUGGGGUGACUGCGUACCUUUUGUAUAAUGGGUCAGCGACUUAUAUUCUGUAGCAAGGUUAACCGAAUAGGGGAGCCGAAGGGAAACCGAGUCUUAACUGGGCGUUAAGUUGCAGGGUAUAGACCCGAAACCCGGUGAUCUAGCCAUGGGCAGGUUGAAGGUUGGGUAACACUAACUGGAGGACCGAACCGACUAAUGUUGAAAAAUUAGCGGAUGACUUGUGGCUGGGGGUGAAAGGCCAAUCAAACCGGGAGAUAGCUGGUUCUCCCCGAAAGCUAUUUAGGUAGCGCCUCGUGAAUUCAUCUCCGGGGGUAGAGCACUGUUUCGGCAAGGGGGUCAUCCCGACUUACCAACCCGAUGCAAACUGCGAAUACCGGAGAAUGUUAUCACGGGAGACACACGGCGGGUGCUAACGUCCGUCGUGAAGAGGGAAACAACCCAGACCGCCAGCUAAGGUCCCAAAGUCAUGGUUAAGUGGGAAACGAUGUGGGAAGGCCCAGACAGCCAGGAUGUUGGCUUAGAAGCAGCCAUCAUUUAAAGAAAGCGUAAUAGCUCACUGGUCGAGUCGGCCUGCGCGGAAGAUGUAACGGGGCUAAACCAUGCACCGAAGCUGCGGCAGCGACACUAUGUGUUGUUGGGUAGGGGAGCGUUCUGUAAGCCUGUGAAGGUGGCCUGUGAGGGUUGCUGGAGGUAUCAGAAGUGCGAAUGCUGACAUAAGUAACGAUAAAGCGGGUGAAAAGCCCGCUCGCCGGAAGACCAAGGGUUCCUGUCCAACGUUAAUCGGGGCAGGGUGAGUCGACCCCUAAGGCGAGGCCGAAAGGCGUAGUCGAUGGGAAACAGGUUAAUAUUCCUGUACUUGGUGUUACUGCGAAGGGGGACGGAGAAGGCUAUGUUGGCCGGGCGACGGUUGUCCCGGUUUAAGCGUGUAGGCUGGUUUUCCAGGCAAAUCCGGAAAACCAAGGCUGAGGCGUGAUGACGAGGCACUACGGUGCUGAAGCGACAAAUGCCCUGCUUCCAGGAAAAGCCUCUAAGCAUCAGGUAACAUCAAAUCGUACCCCAAACCGACACAGGUGGUCAGGUAGAGAAUACCAAGGCGCUUGAGAGAACUCGGGUGAAGGAACUAGGCAAAAUGGUGCCGUAACUUCGGGAGAAGGCACGCUGAUAUGUAGGUGAAGCGACUUGCUCGUGGAGCUGAAAUCAGUCGAAGAUACCAGCUGGCUGCAACUGUUUAUUAAAAACACAGCACUGUGCAAACACGAAAGUGGACGUAUACGGUGUGACGCCUGCCCGGUGCCGGAAGGUUAAUUGAUGGGGUUAGCGGCAACGCGAAGCUCUUGAUCGAAGCCCCGGUAAACGGCGGCCGUAACUAUAACGGUCCUAAGGUAGCGAAAUUCCUUGUCGGGUAAGUUCCGACCUGCACGAAUGGCGUAAUGAUGGCCAGGCUGUCUCCACCCGAGACUCAGUGAAAUUGAACUCGCUGUGAAGAUGCAGUGUACCCGCGGCAAGACGGAAAGACCCCGUGAACCUUUACUAUAGCUUGACACUGAACAUUGAGCCUUGAUGUGUAGGAUAGGUGGGAGGCUUUGAAGUGUGGACGCCAGUCUGCAUGGAGCCGACCUUGAAAUACCACCCUUUAAUGUUUGAUGUUCUAACGUUGGCCCGUAAUCCGGGUUGCGGACAGUGUCUGGUGGGUAGUUUGACUGGGGCGGUCUCCUCCUAAAGAGUAACGGAGGAGCACGAAGGUUGGCUAAUCCUGGUCGGACAUCAGGAGGUUAGUGCAAUGGCAUAAGCCAGCUUGACUGCGAGCGUGACGGCGCGAGCAGGUGCGAAAGCAGGUCAUAGUGAUCCGGUGGUUCUGAAUGGAAGGGCCAUCGCUCAACGGAUAAAAGGUACUCCGGGGAUAACAGGCUGAUACCGCCCAAGAGUUCAUAUCGACGGCGGUGUUUGGCACCUCGAUGUCGGCUCAUCACAUCCUGGGGCUGAAGUAGGUCCCAAGGGUAUGGCUGUUCGCCAUUUAAAGUGGUACGCGAGCUGGGUUUAGAACGUCGUGAGACAGUUCGGUCCCUAUCUGCCGUGGGCGCUGGAGAACUGAGGGGGGCUGCUCCUAGUACGAGAGGACCGGAGUGGACGCAUCACUGGUGUUCGGGUUGUCAUGCCAAUGGCACUGCCCGGUAGCUAAAUGCGGAAGAGAUAAGUGCUGAAAGCAUCUAAGCACGAAACUUGCCCCGAGAUGAGUUCUCCCUGAGACUUAGAGUCUCCUGAAGGAACGUUGAAGACGACGACGUUGAUAGGCCGGGUGUGUAAGCGCAGCGAUGCGUUGAGCUAACCGGUACUAAUGAACCGUGAGGCUUAACCUUACAACGCCGAAG